This is a long non-coding RNA of Homo sapiens (human), 1924 nucleotides long. Ensembl annotates it as long intergenic non-protein coding RNA 838. The record is from Ensembl. Lineage: Eukaryota; Metazoa; Chordata; Mammalia; Primates; Hominidae.
AUUCUGCCUGGGUACGUGUAAAGUGGAGCCGUCUUUUCUGCACAGAGUGUGCACUAUCAUCGUAACAGCAGAGACGGAGAGCAAGAUAAUGCCUGACCUCCUCGGAAUGCACCUGAGUAGGACUCAGCCUCAUUUUGCCUAGCCCCUGCUCAAGAUAGAGUCACUCUGGUUGGAAGGCCUUUGGCAAUAGGAUUGGCAACUCAGAGAAAGCUGGUCCCUGGCAUGGGCAUCUCUCCCAAGGCAUUCUUCCAAAGCUGAUGGCACUAAGGCUGAACCCAGAAGCUGCAGCAGUGGACGGAUGAUGAUCUGAAGAAAUGAGAUCCCUGAUGGGCUUGGAAGUCAUGGUUCCUGUAACCAUGAUGUCACACCCUCGUCCUGACACCGAGAUGGGCUGGACACAUCUGUCACCCAGGGCAAACAAAAUGCUUGGUCUGCAUCUUUCAGAAGAAAACUAAAAAUCAAGUAAUUUCUUAGAAGUUUGCUUGCGUGUGGCUUAAGUCUUCUUCUCCUGUUGAGGAAGGUGUUGAGUUUGACCAUGACAGCCCCACCCAGUCCUUGGCUCAUCUCACCCAUCAAAGAGGAUCUGGAGAUUCAGAGCUAUGCCGUGGAAGACCUUGUCAGAGCACCAGGCCAUACUGUGCUGCAGGUGGGGUUCAGGUGCCCAGUGACAACCACCGGGGCCGCUCAUCCCUAAACGUCUGUUGAACUUAAAGUUCUACUCAAGACUUUCUACAUUAAAUACCCUUUCAUACAGCAAAAUCAGCCAUGUUCUGAGAUGUGAAACUGCAGCACAAAGUUACUGUGGUCUCCACCUAUAGAAAUGGAAUGUUACUUCAUAAAGCCCCAGGCCAAAAAAGAAACCCCAAAACUCUGAAACGACACCCUUAAAUUUAACCUGAACAUCUGGCCAGCCUCCUCCAUCAUUGAAACUUCUCCUGAGUGUUGGCAUGGAUCCUAUGUUUCUCCAGCCAGGGAGCUUUGCUCCCCAUUCUUGAUGGACCCACUGAGUCCCAAUUUUCUACAUUUUACUUGGGUCAUUCCACCACUUUGGGAUGCUUUUCCUACUCUGUUGUACUUUAAAAAUGUUUCUUCUUUCCUAUUCUCAGCUUCACGCAUUUGUCUUCUUUCUCAAUUCAACUUGCUUAGUUCUCGCUACAUCAAUUCCUAGAGCCAUCCAUCUGCACUUCUGAAUCAUUUAAGUUUUGUUUGGCUACAAGUAAUGGAAACCCACUCUGAGUAACUCAAGCAAGAACUGGAAUUUAUUGGAAGGACAGUGGGAUAUAUCAUAAGAUCCAAAAAGAAUUGAACAAAUAAAAUUUCAGAGGGAAGAAAAAGGGCAGCUCCAGUGACUUCAGCAACAAGACAACAUAAGUCUUUCUAGAGCAUAGCUACUAAUAUUAUUCAGCUGCAAGAGCCCCUCCCCAUGAGAAACUUGAUUGAAAAUUCUGAUUUCCCACAGAGAAGAAUCUGAUCGACUCAGUUUAGCUUUGGUUGCCCAACUGCUCAAUCUUGCAUGAAUUAUUUCCAGCCAAGGGGACAAGGUGUAUUAUAGGGACACACCUGCUUUCUCCAAAGAAAAGAUCUGGGCAUUUCCUGAUCAUUUCCCUGAGAAGGAGGAAUCAUUGUGAGCCAAGAAGAUACCUCAAGUAUAAUGAGCUCAGUUACACUUUUUUGAUAUCUGAGUAUUUGGUAUGUAGUGUGCAUUUUAAAAAACAUGUCUCUCUCCAGGACAAUGUUAACCUCUUCCACGGUGGAGUGGGGCUAUGUGAUUUUGUGCUUAAUUUACCUAGCUGGUGGGCCUCCAGUAGAGGCUGUAGUCGAGCCAGCUGAUACCACAUCAGUUCUCCAAAGGUAAGUUUCUCUUGGCUAAUAUUCCUUCUCUCAACUUAAUAAACACCCACUAUACACCAAGAUACAUUGAAAA